Molecule: unclassified non-coding RNA, 315 nt
Filed under: plant metagenome
Description: partial contains 5.8S ribosomal RNA, internal transcribed spacer 2, and large subunit ribosomal RNA
Rfam family: 5.8S ribosomal RNA (bases 1-105)
Source: RNAcentral
GAAAUGCGAUAACUAGUGUGAAUUGCAGAAUUCCGUGAAUCAUCGAGUCUUUGAACGCACAUUGCGCCCCCUGGUAUUCCGGGGGGCAUGCCUGUCCGAGCGUCAUUGCUGCCCAUCAAGCACGGCUUGUGUGUUGGGUCGUCGUCCCCUCUCCGGGGGGACGGGCCCCAAAGGCAGCGGCGGCACCGCGUCCGAUCCUCGAGCGUAUGGGGCUUUGUCACCCGCUCUGUAGGCCCGGCCGGCGCUUGCCGAACGCAAAUCAAUCUUUUUCCGGGUUGACCUCGGAUCAGGUAGGGAUACCCGCUGAACUUAAGC